Long non-coding RNA from Gopherus evgoodei (Goodes thornscrub tortoise), 97 nucleotides. RefSeq lists it as uncharacterized. The record is from RefSeq and is a predicted model, not a curated record. NCBI's taxonomy places the organism in Eukaryota, Metazoa, Chordata, Testudines, Testudinidae. The transcript is spliced from 3 exons.
AAUAACACUUCCCUAUUCACUUUCUCCACAUCAGUCAUGAUUUUAUAGAUUUCUGUCAUAAUCCCCCUUAGUUGUUUCUUCUCCAAGCUGAAAAGUC